GGGCGUAAGCGCGCGCAGGUGGUUUCUUAAGUCUGAUGUGAAAUCCCACGGCUCAACCGGGGAGGGGCAUUGGAAACUGGGAGACUUGAGUGCUGAAGAGGAGAGUGGAAUUCCAUGUGUAGCGGUGAAAUGCGUAGAGAUAUGGAGGAACACCGGUGGCGAAGGCGACUUUCUGGUCUGUAACUGACACUGAGGCGCGAAAGCGUGGGGAGCAAACAGGAUUAGAUACCCUGGUAGUCCACGCCGUAAACGAUGACUGCUUGGUGGUAGAGGGCUUCCGCCCUUUAUUGCUGAACUUAACGCAUUAAUCACUCCGCCGGGGGAGUACGGCCGCAAGGCUGAAACUCAAUGGAAUUGACGGGGGCCCGCACAACCGGGGAAGCAGGUGGUUUAUUUCAUACCACCGCGAAAAACCUUACUACGCCUUGACUUCCUAUGACUUCCCUAAAGAUAUGUCUUCUCCUUCGGA
RNAcentral lists this ribosomal RNA (469 nucleotides) under Bacillus cereus. RNAcentral's name for it is "bacterial SSU rRNA". It matches the Rfam family "Bacterial small subunit ribosomal RNA", at positions 556 to 1025 of the family's 1533-position model. The record is from RNAcentral. Lineage: Bacteria; Bacillati; Bacillota; Bacilli; Caryophanales; Bacillaceae.